AUUGAACGCUGGCGGCAUGCUUUACACAUGCAAGUCGAACGGCAGCGCGGGCUUCGGCCUGGCGGCGAGUGGCGAACGGGUGAGUAAUGCAUCGGAACGUGCCCAGUAGUGGGGGAUAGCCCGGCGAAAGCCGGAUUAAUACCGCAUACGACCUGAGGGUGAAAGCGGGGGACCGAAAGGCCUCGCGCUAUUGGAGCGGCCGAUGUCGGAUUAGCUAGUUGGUGGGGUAAAGGCUUACCAAGGCGACGAUCCGUAGCUAGUCUGAGAGGACGACCAGCCACACUGGGACUGAGACACGGCCCAGACUCCUACGGGAGGCAGCAGUGGGGAAUUUUGGACAAUGGGGGCAACCCUGAUCCAGCCAUGCCGCGUGCGGGAAGAAGGCCUUCGGGUUGUAAACCGCUUUUGUUCGGGAAGAAAUCCUCUGGGCUAAUACCCCGGGGGGAUGACGGUACCGGAAGAAUAAGCACCGGCUAACUACGU
Molecule: ribosomal RNA, 483 nt
Filed under: uncultured bacterium
Lineage: Bacteria
Description: partial 16S ribosomal RNA
Rfam family: Bacterial small subunit ribosomal RNA
Source: RNAcentral